Molecule: long non-coding RNA, 2129 nt
Filed under: Nicotiana benthamiana
Lineage: Eukaryota; Viridiplantae; Streptophyta; Magnoliopsida; Solanales; Solanaceae
Description: long non-coding RNA (NBEN_LNC021380)
Source: RNAcentral
CCUCUCCUCUCCAUAUUCUCUCUAACGCUCUCAAAACACUAGCCAAUCUCACUGUCUCCUACCUCGAGCUCACCGGAAAUCAUGGCUACUCUGGUCAUGAUUACCUCACACUCACCCUCCUGUACUCAUGUAUGCUUGAUAUUUGAAGACUAAAGGCCUUGACCUCGAUGGUUCCCUUUCAUAUCUUCUUAGAUCUAUAGAUCUAUGGCUUCUCUGGUCAUUACUCCGGCAUAUUCGAGCAAUAUGAGUCUUUUCGACUCAGGAUCAGAAUUUUCUCAAGACCUUUCUCAUUUCUAGGGUUUUCUAUGAAACCCUAAGCUAUUCGAGGUUCUUUCUCUGUUUGUUUUCUUAGAUCUGUAGUGUAUUUGUGUUCUACUGGACAUUCAAAGUAUUUCCCCAAAUUUGCCCUUUUAAAUAUCAUUUGUCGGAAAUUUAGGGUUUCUGAAAGGUUUUUCAAAAAUAUCUUUUCUGAUUCUUCCUCUUCUUUUCUUCAUGUGUGUUUGUCUUUAUCAUGCUCAUGUGUUUCCAUUUUACUACGUGUAUGUUGUUCUUCUUCUUUUCAUUUUUUUACUAUACAUGAUACUCUUGUUGCUUUGUGUUCUACUCUGCCUCUAAGACUAGAUUCGUAUGUUAACCUUUACUAUGUUUUCCUACAUGCUCUUCCCUAUACUUUUCAGUAUUAUUCUACCAUAUGUGUUUUCUGUUGAAUUCUUUGACUUUGUUUGCUCUACUGGAGUCUGUUCGUGAGUCUUGCUAAACGUGUGUCAUCCAAUAUUUUAUAUAAAAAAAUUCUCUUCUGAACUCACUUAUGUUUCAAACUUUUCCUAAGCAUGUUCUUUUAUGCUCUUAAAUAAGCUUUCUUUCUUUGUCAUAUCAAACCUGCUAUCAUAUUUGUUUUGUUUCUCAUGAGGCUCUGAAACUGACCUUUGAAGUUUGUUUUAAUGGCUUGCUUUCUCAUACCUAUGUCUGAUUCGAUUUGAAACCCUAGGAUUUGGAGGUUUUCUUGGGCAUGUUUUAUUUGGUGUUUGGACUAAGGUUUUGCAUUGGAACCCUGAACUCUCAGACUUACUUUGAGUCCACAAACUAAACUUGUAUCCCUUUACUUAUGAUGUUGAACCUUCCAAUAUUAGACUUUCUUCUAAGUAAUAUGACGACCUCUUUGUUUGAUUUGUCUCCUUUAUGUAUGAGGAAUUCUUCUUUAAAAAAGGUUUUGCCAACCACUAAUUGACUCUGAAUUUCUUUAAUGGGGUUUAAUAGAUUGUUACUGAUUUCCUUCUAAUCAAACUUUCUUUACCUUUUCCUGACUUGGUUCAUUCGAGUAAAAGCCUAUAUCUUUGAUUAUACUUGUCGUUUGAGUGAUUCCCUUUCCUUAUUUUUUCACAAGUCAAGUACCAUUGGACUUUUUCCUUCACUAACUUCUAUGUAUUUACCCUUAUUGAACUGCUUGAGAAAAUAUUCUGAUUAAUUCUUUCCUUAAUUGUCUUUACCCGUUUGAAAUUAGAGUCCCUUAAUUUAAGGGAGAUUGAUUUCAAUGUUAUUUCGAUACCUUUUUUUACUUGCUUGCUGCACUACUAAAAGGGCACGACCCUUCUAUACACACAGAUCGAUUAUUGAACACUUCAUUCAAUAUUCUCACACUCUCAAUUACGAUACUCUUUCAAUACUAUACUCUCUUCUGAGGUCUUUUGUAAUGUUUGCUUGCAAUUUUGCUUACAAGACUCCUACUUUCACUUAUUUGUUUCCCUGAAACUGGUAUAUCUCAAAUUUGAUUUCAACUUCUUCCCUAUGUAUUUACUUUACAGUUGCUAUACUCUUGUCUACUUUGCUAUUCAUGUUUUGUAAUGAAUAUGCUACUUUCUCUUUGCAUCUGCUGUUUGUCGUGAAUUCCUCAUACCCCCACCCCAUCUAUAUGUGUGAAUUAAGGCUCAUGGCCUGACAGUAUCCAUAUUGCUACCCAGGUCAAAACCAGAUCCACAACUCCUAAGAUUGGGCUAACAUGCCGGUUAGGGUAUGCCAGCAGUCCCAAUUGCUGGGCAUGACCACCAGUCUGCCAUGGCUUUCCUAAUUCCCUCUUCAUACACAUGCACUUAAUCUUAGACUCUAAGUUCUACAACUCCCCUCCCCCCGUC